CCUACGGGAGGCAGCAGUGGGGAAUUUUGGACAAUGGGCGAAAGCCUGAUCCAGCAAUGCCGCGUGAGUGAAGAAGGCCUUCGGGUUGUAAAGCUCUUUUGUCAGGGAAGAAACGGUGAGGGCUAAUAUCCUUUGCUAAUGACGGUACCUGAAGAAUAAGCACCGGCUAACUACGUGCCAGCAGCCGCGGUAAUACGUAGGGUGCAAGCGUUAAUCGGAAUUACUGGGCGUAAAGCGUGCGCAGGCGGUUUUGUAAGUCUGUCGUGAAAUCCCCGGGCUCAACCUGGGAAUUGCGAUGGAGACUGCAAGGCUAGAAUCUGGCAGAGGGGGGUAGAAUUCCACGUGUAGCAGUGAAAUGCGUAGAGAUGUGGAGGAACACCGAUGGCGAAGGCAGCCCCCUGGGUCAAGAUUGACGCUCAUGCACGAAAGCGUGGGGAGCAAACAGGAUUAGAUACCCUGGUAGUCCACGCCCUAAAACGAUGUCUACUAGUUGUACGGGUUUUAAUUAACUUGGUAACGCAGCUAACGCGUGAAGUACGACCGCCGUCGGGAGGUACGGUCGCGAGAAGUUAAAACGUAACUAAGUAGAAGUUAGUACGGACGUGAGACGUAGACCGAACGGACGACGACGAGGGAGGAGGG
RNAcentral lists this ribosomal RNA (642 nucleotides) under uncultured bacterium. RNAcentral's name for it is "bacterial SSU rRNA". The stretch from base 1 to 545 matches the Rfam family "Bacterial small subunit ribosomal RNA", at positions 338 to 873 of the family's 1533-position model. The record is from RNAcentral.